GUGGCUAGCCAAUGAUCAUCGAUAAACUGAACCCGUCAAGUUCUCCCGAGGUUCACGCUAAUACAGCAGAAACACUUGGUGCCAUUAUUCGUAACACGCCAUCAGGUCUAUCUGUUAAACUUUCUAUCCCGAGCUUUGUUGAAAUAAUAUUUGGUCGUGCACCGGAAGAUACACAAUCUAAAUCUGGUCUUGUGGACUCACUUUCGUUGUGUAUCUCGUAGUUGGUUUCCAAAAGAGCAACUUAUUCUCCAUCAGUUCACUCUAUUCGAAGUCAA
Papaver somniferum (opium poppy) is the source of this 275-nucleotide long non-coding RNA. RefSeq lists it as uncharacterized. The transcript is spliced from 3 exons. NCBI's taxonomy places the organism in Eukaryota, Viridiplantae, Streptophyta, Magnoliopsida, Ranunculales, Papaveraceae. The record is from RefSeq and is a predicted model, not a curated record.